RNAcentral lists this signal recognition particle RNA (97 nucleotides) under Alkalilimnicola sp. S0819. RNAcentral's name for it is "Bacterial small signal recognition particle RNA". It matches the Rfam family "Bacterial small signal recognition particle RNA". From Rfam's summary of the family: The signal recognition particle (SRP) is a universally conserved ribonucleoprotein involved in the co-translational targeting of proteins to membranes. Archaeal SRP consists of a 7S RNA and homologues of the eukaryotic SRP19 and SRP54 proteins. Lineage: Bacteria; Pseudomonadati; Pseudomonadota; Gammaproteobacteria; Chromatiales; Ectothiorhodospiraceae. The record is from Rfam by way of RNAcentral.
CGUCGGUCCCCCCGCGACGAUAAACUGUGAACCCCGUCAGGCCCGGAAGGGAGCAGCGGCAGCAGUGGACUCGGGCGCCGGGGUGUGGCUGGCGUCG